UACAGAGGGUGCGAGCGUUAAUCGGAAUUACUGGGCGUAAAGCGUGCGUAGACGGUUACGUAAGUCGGGUGUGAAAGCCCCGGGCUCAACCUGGGAAUUGCAUUCGAGACUGUGUAGCUAGGGUGCGGAAGAGGGAAGCGGAAUUUCCGGUGUAGCGGUGAAAUGCGUAGAUAUCAGGAGGAACACCGGUGGUGUAAACGGCUUUCUGGACCAUAACUGACACUGAGGCACGAAAGCGUGGGUAGCAAACAGG
This 253-nucleotide ribosomal RNA is filed under the name uncultured bacterium. Its description in RNAcentral is "partial 16S ribosomal RNA". It matches the Rfam family "Bacterial small subunit ribosomal RNA", at positions 524 to 776 of the family's 1533-position model. The record is from RNAcentral.